Molecule: ribosomal RNA, 186 nt
Filed under: Triticum aestivum (bread wheat)
Lineage: Eukaryota; Viridiplantae; Streptophyta; Magnoliopsida; Poales; Poaceae
Description: partial small subunit ribosomal RNA
Source: RNAcentral
CUAGGCUCUAGGAUCAGUAGAGUCAGCACAAUAAACUGGGAAGAGCUGCAUCUCCCCUCUGUCAGCAACAAGGGACUUGACAACCCAUUCACUGAGGCCGAGGUUUGGGUAGCGAUUGUGGCUUCACCGGCAGAUAAAGCACCGGGUCCUGACGGCUUCUCGGGGAUGUUCUUCAGAUCUUGCUGG